AUGGAGGACUGGGUGUACUACUUCCUCUCCAUCACCUUGUGCCUCACCCUGUCCCUUGUGUUCUCAUCCCUGCGCGAAUGCAAGGCGGCGGGCUCGCCGUUCCUCCCGCCUGGGCCGACCUCGCUGACGGCUUUCGGCCCGCUGCUUUUGCUCGCCUGGACAAGCGUCAACAUCGAGUCGGUAGUCCGCGUCGCACGCUCAUGGUAUGGCCCCGUGUUCACGCUCUACCUCCUCCCAUCCUUCCCCGUCGUGUUCGUCGCCGACCGGGCCGUGGCGCACCGCGUCCUUGUGCAGCUCGGCUCGGCGUUCGCCAACCGGCCUCCGGCCAACCUCGCCACCCGCAUCUUCUCCAGUGAUCAGCACAACAUCACGUCCGCCGCGUACGGCCCGCUGUGGCGCACGCUCCGGCAAAACCUCACCGGCCGGGCGCUCCACCCUUCGAGCAUCCCGCGGUACGCCGCCGCCCGCCGGCGCGCCGCCUCGGGCCUCGUCGACGGCAUCACACGCCAGAUGCGAAGCGGCCAAGGGGUCGUCGUCAUCGAGGGGCUCCUGCACGAGGCCGUCUUCCACGUGAUUGCAUGCAUGUGCUUCGGCCAGGGGCUCGACGACGCCUCCAUCGCGGCAGUCACGUCUCUGCAGAGGCAGUUUCUCAAGGAGGUGGUGGGGUUCCAGGUGUUCGGGUCGAGCCCCAAGGUCAGCAAGCUCCUCUUCUGGCGACGGUACCAGAGGAUGCUGUCCAUGCGCCGGCGGCAGGAGGAGGUGUUCAUCCCGCUGAUACGUGCGUGCCGUGCGCGGCGCAACACCGCCGGCAAGAGCUUUGAAAUGGAUUGCUACGUCGACUCGCUCAUCAGCCUCCGCAUCCCGGAGCAAGGUGGCAGCAGCAGGCACCUGACGGACGGCGAGAUCGUCGCCUUGUGCACCGAACUCUUGUCCGGGCCCGUCGACUCUACGGUAAACAUGUUGCAGUGGGCCAUGGCGAACCUCGUCACACGGCCGGACAUCCAGGCGAAGCUCCGGGCCGAAAUAAACAACGCCGCCGAUGGCCAGGUCCGGGAGGAGGAGCACCUGCCGUACCUCCGGGCGGUGGUCCUGGAGUCGCUGAGGCGGCACCCACCGGCGCGCUUCAUCCUGCCGCACGCGGCGGCCGGGGAGAACGGCACGGUGCUGGACGGCUUCACCGUGCCCAAAGAGGUGUCGGUGAACUUCACGCUGGGCGACAUGGCCAUGGACAGGAAGGUGUGGCCGGACCCCACGCAGUUCCGGCCGGAGCGGUUCCUGCCCGGCGGCGAGGGGGAGGACCUGGACCUCACGGGGAGCAAGGAGAUCAAAAUGAUGCCGUUCGGUGCCGGUCGUCGGAUGUGCCCUGGCAUCGACGUUUCGCUGCUGCACGUCAACCUCCUUGUGGCCACCAUGGUGAGGGCGUUCCAGUGGAGCGAGGUGCCCGGCGAGCCGGUGGACUUCACUGAGACGCUGGAGCUCACCAUAGUCAUGAAGCGCCCACUCCGUGCCAAGGUCGUGCCAUGCCAUGCUACUAGCUAG
This 1539-nucleotide ribosomal RNA is filed under the name Triticum aestivum (bread wheat). RNAcentral's name for it is "partial small subunit ribosomal RNA". Lineage: Eukaryota; Viridiplantae; Streptophyta; Magnoliopsida; Poales; Poaceae. The record is from RNAcentral.